RNAcentral lists this non-coding RNA (208 nucleotides) under Fervidicella metallireducens. RNAcentral's name for it is "T-box sequence". It matches the Rfam family "T-box leader". From Rfam's summary of the family: Uncharged tRNA acts as the effector for transcription antitermination of genes in the T-box leader family. T-boxes are found upstream of many aminoacyl-tRNA synthetase genes and some amino acid biosynthetic genes usually in Gram-positive bacteria. Lineage: Bacteria; Bacillati; Bacillota; Clostridia; Eubacteriales; Clostridiaceae. The record is from RNAcentral.
AUUAAAGCAAUGAUUGAGAAUAGUAGGCAUAUUAAUCGGCUAAAGCGACCUGGGGAUGGUGGAAGCCUGGGGCAGGAGAUAUGUUGAAUGGGCUCAUGAGUGUAAAGCCGAAAUAACAGUAGGUUUUAACGUUUCCCGCGUUAAGGGCAGAGUGGGUCAUUUGACCAACUAGAGUGGUACCGCGUAGGAAGUUUCCUUCGUCUCUUUU